Molecule: ribosomal RNA, 407 nt
Filed under: bacterium enrichment culture clone ALO1_GLFRUDD03FTDYY
Lineage: Bacteria
Description: bacterial SSU rRNA
Rfam family: Bacterial small subunit ribosomal RNA
Source: RNAcentral
GAGUUUGAUCCUGGCUCAGAUUGAACGCUGGCGGCAUGCCUUACACAUGCAAGUCGAACGGCAGCACGGGAGCUUGCUCCUGGUGGCGAGUGGCGAACGGGUGAGUAAUGCAUCGGAACGUAUCCUGGAGUGGGGGAUAACGUAGCGAAAGUUACGCUAAUACCGCAUAUUCUGUGAGCAGGGAAAGCGGGGGGACCUUCGGGCCUCGCGCUCUUGGAGCGGCCGAUGUCGGAUUAGCUAGUUGUGAGGUAAAGGCUCACCAAGGCGACGAUCCGUAGCAGGUCUGAGAGGAUGAUCUGCCACACUGGAACUGAGACACGGUCCAGACUCCUACGGGAGGCAGCAGUGGGAAUUUUGGACAAUGGGGGCAACCCUGAUCCAGCCAUGCCGCGUGAGUGAAGAAGGCC